Drosophila sechellia is the source of this 726-nucleotide RNA transcript. It is a transcript of the gene named NADH dehydrogenase [ubiquinone] 1 alpha subcomplex subunit 8, with no coding region annotated. The record is from RefSeq and is a predicted model, not a curated record. Lineage: Eukaryota; Metazoa; Arthropoda; Insecta; Diptera; Drosophilidae. The transcript has 5 exons.
CGGCUCUACUAUCGAUAUGAAUUUUUAUUGACAGCUUCGUCUUAGCAGCCCUGGAUCAAAAUCAACUGUUGUGUUGUAGGCAAACGUUUUUGGUUGAUCGCACAGGACUGCAACGCAAUUAUGGUCAUCACCAACAACACAACACUGCCCGAGGAGUCGGAGCUGAACGUCCAGGAGCUAAAUCUCUCGUCGGCGGCCUUACGGGCGGGCGCCUUUCAUUUGGGCAAGCAAUGCGAGCAGGCCAAUAAUGAGUUUAUGCUGUGCCGGCAGGAGCUGGAUGACCCGCGCGCCUGUUUGGCGGAGGGCAAAGCCGUGACCAGCUGCGCCCUGGACUUCUUCCGCAAGGUGAAGAAGACCUGCCAUGAGGAGUUCACGCAGUACGCCACCUGCCUGGACAAGAGCAGCGGUACUAUGGCCUUUUCACAGUAAGCUCUCCUUGCCGCAAGACCCAGGGAGUGUUCGACAAGUGUAUCAAGGAUAACUUCGACUGGGAUCGUCCCUCCUAUGGAUACUUUUCGCGGGCCAAGGUCAUCCAAUCAGCUCGCGAAGCACCCAAGAAGGAGGAGAAGGUCUCCUAUCCCGAUGCCACCCCCGGUCUGCCCGAGGAUUACCCCAAGCCGCCAGCAAAGUACGGUUCCCGCUUCCACUGGCUGGAAUAGACAGCUGCCAGCGCCUAGUGAAAUUUGAAAGCGUUCAUCUUAAUAUAAACUCUUGUUUCCAUUAGUA